AUACGGAGGGGGCUAGCGUUGUUCGGAAUUACUGGGCGUAAAGCGCGCGUAGGCGGUCCGCGUAGUCAGGCGUGAAAGCCCCGGGCUCAACCUGGGAACUGCGUUUGAUACUGGCGGGCUAGAGUCCGGGAGAGGGUAGUGGAAUUCCCAGUGUAGAGGUGAAAUUCGUAGAUAUUGGGAAGAGCACCAGUGGCGAAGGCGGCUACCUGGACCGGUACUGACGCUGAGGUGCGAAAGCGUGGGGAGCAAACAGGAUUAGAUACCCGGGUAGUCC
RNAcentral lists this ribosomal RNA (274 nucleotides) under uncultured bacterium. RNAcentral describes it as "partial 16S ribosomal RNA". It matches the Rfam family "Bacterial small subunit ribosomal RNA", at positions 523 to 796 of the family's 1533-position model. The record is from RNAcentral.